AGCCACGGUAUCCGGCUGCCAUCGAUUUUUUAAAAUAAACUUUGUUACCUUCUCCCUUUGGAUACAGGCAGGCUCAAGUGGUGUUCUAUGUUCUUGUGGCUCAGAGCCACUGGUGGAGGAUACGGGAGAAACCUUCAUCACCUCAUCUUCUCAGGGCCUACUGCAAGCCAGCGUCUCCCCUCCUUCCUCUCUGCUUCAAGAUCCAUGACGUGACAAAACCAGUUUCUUACAUGGAGGUAAUUUUGUUUUGCUACAUAUAAGUCCCUGCAGAAUGACAAAUAGCAGAUAUUUAAUAAAUGCAUAUUGAACAGGUGAAGGCACUUUGUCUCAAAGGGAUAACCCUAGAGUUGAUUUGACUCAGGAGAAAAUACAGCUCACACAGCUCAUUGGAAUGCUUAUUGUUUUGCCAUUUCCUUGAAGUGGAAAGUCCCAGUCAGUUAUCAAUUAAUAGUAUCAACAACUAUUUUAUCUGGUGCUUAACAGGGGAUGACAUCCAGAGGUAACUUCACAGACAGAGCCUGUUGUGAAACAGGUUGAAUUCUGCCACAUUUUACUACCUUCCUGGUCUCAGACCAAUCACUUAACUCUUGCAAUGCUACAUGUGGAAAAUAUAUUCUGCUAUCAGUGAAUUUACUAGCCUGUGAUACCAUGUUCCAGAAGCCAGCAGGACUGAGUUACUGGUGUAAUUGAGCCCCUGGCUUUGCAAGUUUGUGCACUUAAGUAUCUCUGGGUGAAAAGUAAUGAUAUAAACACAAAGGAACCAUUAUUAGAGAAAUCAUAUUUAUGUUCCCAUAUUGUAUGGGGUCAGAGGAAAGCAAGACAAGGGCAAGACUUGGGCAAGUGACAAGACAUAUUAGCAGUGGCAGCAACAGUGCUGGGUAAACAGUUGUAAAUCCCAAAUGCUGAGCCGUGUUAACAUUUUACAGAAUGCUUUGAUUCUUUUCAGCAAGAUACAAAGCAAGAAUAAAUUCACACAGCCUCCUUUGAGGUCAGUGUGAUUUCUCUGUUUCUGCGGAAAAGCACUAACUAAUCACAUGCUAAUUCAUAGUUUGAUGCUCAUCAAACUGGAGUGGACAGUUAGAGGUAGGGAUGACACACACACACACACACACACACACACACACACACACAAAAAAAAAAAAAAAAAAAAAAAAAGAAGAAGACUGGUUUUCCCAGAACCUGAAUGGAGAUCCUGCAGCUAGAAGAGGUCACCAGUCUGUCUUUAGGGUGUUCUUUUUAGACAUCCAAAUGCAGACCGGAUGGUGCCUUCCCAGAAGAGCAUGUUGUGGGGCAUCUCUCUAUGGGGAUAACUGGGGAAGGAAGCUUCCUCCCAAAGGACAUGCAGCCAGAGUAUGAUUUUACAGUAGAAUCUAAGAAUAUUAAUAAUUCGUUGAACAUAAAUGACCAAGGAGCUGAUUUCAGUAAGAAGUUUCCGGGAGAAGUUUCCAACUGUCAUAACUGCCAAGUAUUAAAGGGCAAGAUGCCACUAAUUCCCAGUGGAUUAAAAAUACUGCUAGUUUUUCUCAAGGACAUUUCAAUUUUGGAAAGAGUGUCAGUUUAGAAACACAAAUAAUGCCAUUUUCGAGAUGAAAUGAAAUCUGAAGGAAUUAGACAAUUUACCAAUAAGAAGGACUUUUCUCAAGUAAUCUUUGAACUGUGUGUUCUAGAAAGACUGUAUGUACUGAGUGGAGGCAGGUGGAUGAGAAGAGGAGCUGAGGAGGAGGAGGAGGUGUCUGAGGAAUGUGGCCUGGGGCUACUCAGACACAUUGUUGCAAAGGAGGAAUCUGACCUAGGAACCAAUCUCCAUCUCUUGAGGUGUCUGGGCCAAAACAUGUUUUAUGACUUUGAUGAUAGAAAAAAAUCUAUGUAUUUUGAAUGCUGAUAUAAUGAAGAUCAAAGCUACACAAUUUGGAUGAAAAGAACAUUACUGUCACAUUUCAAGUUUUGCAAAAUAAAUGAUGGAAUGAUCUUUAGAUGACAUGCCUGAAAGUGAAGAUUUGGGUACCUCACAAAAAAGAAUCUUGCAAAUGCAUACAGAGAAAAUUAUGAUAAUGCAAACAAAGCCCUUGAAUUUAUGUUGCAUGAAAGAAGUUUAAAGUAGAAGUAAGUAAGUACGAGUCUAUGUUAAUAGAAUAGCCACUGUAAGUAGGAAUAUUUAUCCAUUGUUUACAAAUCCAUAAGAUUAUUAGAUGAAAACUAUACCAUUUCAAAUAUGUAGGACUCUUUCUCAUCCACUUACAAAAGUAAUGGCUUUAGUAUCUAUUGUUUACUUAUGUCUCUACCAUUCCAGAACUUGAGUAGAGCAGGUUUUAGUCCCAUUUUUUGGUUUGGGCAGGUAGCGCAGAGGGAGGGAGAAGCAGCUUCAGGGGUCAAGUCUAAUUGACGGGCGCUGGACCUUGAUCUUUGGACACCCUAACUGGGCCUCUUCUACCAAACCAGACCAUGAAUUGCCCCCAAACCAGUUCUUCUGAAGUAACCAAAUCUAUCAAUGAAUGAAUAUUAAAAUGAAGCUUGAACAAGCCUCAAGUGCAAAGGGGACUAAGAAUGGAGUCUGGUAGGGAGAGGCACCCCAAAAUGAGAGUAGGUGCAGAAAGAAAAUUAAAGCAAUUCUGAAAACAGGUUUCUUUCAUUUCUGAGUUUUACUUCUUUCAAUUCUUGGGAACCAGGAGAAUAUGGCAGCACAGGGGCUUGAGAACAGGCUGCGCUGGGAUUUGGAAAACCUUCUGGAACCUCAUCUAUAAAAGGAAGAGGUUGGAUUCAAUGAUGUCUUCUCUGCUUUAAUAUGUUCUGGUUUCACCAAGCAGGUCUUUGCCUGGCACCUAUAAAGAUCCUCAGCCCACACAAAGCAACACCAUCCAGAAGGAAAAUGCCCUUCGGGUCAGUUUCAGGACUUCAGUGUUCACCACGAUGGACCUGCUACUGCCAUGUAAGAAGCCUGCUCCCACUUUGCCUUCUGCCAUGAGUAAAAACUCCCCAAGGCCUCCCCGGAAGCAGAUUCUGCCAUGGUUCCUGUGCAGCCUGUGGAGCAGCGAGCCAAUUAAACCUCUUUUCUUUAUAAA
Macaca mulatta (Rhesus monkey) is the source of this 3059-nucleotide non-coding RNA. Lineage: Eukaryota; Metazoa; Chordata; Mammalia; Primates; Cercopithecidae. The record is from RefSeq and is a predicted model, not a curated record.